UAACAGCACGAAUGACAAUGAAUAAUUU
Molecule: small RNA, 28 nt
Filed under: Bombyx mori (domestic silkworm)
Lineage: Eukaryota; Metazoa; Arthropoda; Insecta; Lepidoptera; Bombycidae
Description: ovarian small RNA-18602
Source: RNAcentral